This 28-nucleotide small RNA is filed under the name Bombyx mori (domestic silkworm). RNAcentral's name for it is "ovarian small RNA-8028". The record is from RNAcentral. Lineage: Eukaryota; Metazoa; Arthropoda; Insecta; Lepidoptera; Bombycidae.
UGAAUUGAAUUCAGUAUUCUUAAUGGGC